Molecule: ribosomal RNA, 254 nt
Filed under: uncultured bacterium
Lineage: Bacteria
Description: partial 16S ribosomal RNA
Rfam family: Bacterial small subunit ribosomal RNA
Source: RNAcentral
CUUUCUUUGCUGGCGACCGGCGCACGGGUGAGUAACACGUAUCCAACCUGCCCUUUACUCGGGGAUAGCCUUUCGAAAGAAAGACUAAUACCCGAUAGUAUAAUGAUUCCGCAUGGUUUCAUUAUUAAAGGAUUCCGGUAAAGGAUGGGGAUGCGUUCCAUUAGGUUGUUGGUGAGGUAACGGCUCACCAAGCCUUCGAUGGCUAGGGGUUCUGAGAGGAAGGUCCCCCACAUUGGAACUGAGACACGGUCCAA